RNAcentral lists this long non-coding RNA (661 nucleotides) under Parus major (Great Tit). RNAcentral's name for it is "lncRNA (ENSPMJG00000013174.1)". Lineage: Eukaryota; Metazoa; Chordata; Aves; Passeriformes; Paridae. The record is from RNAcentral.
UUUCAUUUACUCUUGGAUUUAAACCACGCAAUUUCUGAUUGCGUGUCCUAAUUUCCUAUGAUACACAUUAACUAGGAAAUAAUUAGUUUCACUCAGAAGCAUCAAAAUAUGUUGUCUCUCAAGCACUGGAAGUUUUCACUAGUUCUUCAAACUCUUCAUAACUACCUAUUGAAGUUUUUUCUUCCUAGGUGGAAACAGAGCUAUAAUUUUGAAGACAAGGACGUUCUCACUGACUAUCAGGGUACAACAUGAACUUUAUACUCCAGAACCAAAGGAAGGAAGAAGGCACGUGAACAAAUAACAUUCUGGAAAAUUUUUUGGCUGAGCUACAUUGUAAAAACUAUUAAGAUGCAGUUUCAGAUUGUCACUGUGGAAGAUCAAAACACACCUAUCAAUAUUUUGGGAAACAAAAUUUCUAAUCAGAGUUACAUGGAAAGUAAAGAUAUAAUUUUCUAAAUCUUUCUCUAUGAAAUACAAGUAAAUAUUCCAUAUUAUUUUAAUGUAUUUUUAGCAAUUAGGUAUACUUUUUUUUAUUUUCAUAUUUCUUAGAAAGUUGUGUGCUAACACUUUUACAUCCAUACUAAAAUGGCCUUUAAAAAUUAAGGAUUUAAAGGCAGUUAUUGAGAGGAGGGGAAAGCCUACCUGUGAUAAAGACACUGAG